AUCCAAUCGUUCGAGCCUUCCGGAUCCGCCAUAGAACCAAGCCGAUGAACUCCCGUGCAGAGAUUUUCUCUGGUGGGUAUAGCAUUCUGACAGAGACUCCAGAGAAAGGUUCUAAUUUUCGGGGGUGCUGAGAGACUCCAGAUCUGAGUCCAUAGGGAUCUUGGUGGCUUGAAAGAACAUGACGCCCUGUUUUGGUUAGCGCUUAUAGUUGAUGGCAAACUUUGCCAGCCCCAUGAUGAUCGUUGGCCCUUACGUGCUGUCCAGAGAUCGCCAUGUGGGAAAUAGACGCCUUUCAGUACUUUUCUCCACAGGGCAGUUGGAGAAUUGGAUAAUCUCCAAGCUUGUUUACCAAGCAUUGCACGAUUAAAGAUAAGCAAAUCUUUAAACCCCAUCCCUCCUUCAUCCUUUCAGGUUUUCAAAACUUCCCAAUUUUUCCAAUGCGUCCCUCGCUGAGCAUCUCCUUUUUGCCACCAAAAUGAUGCUAUGCAUCUUUCUAUUGCACGACAGAUGGACACGGGUAACUUGAAGAUGGACAUUGCAUAAGUUGGUAUGGCCUGCACCACACUUUUGAUCAAAACCUCCUUCCCCGCUUUGGAACUCUCAGGGCUUGGGCCAUGUUUCUUCUUAAUGGUAAGGGACAAUUGUUGCUAAAAUAUACCCCUGACUUGUUUAAAUUGACAGCUUGUCCGGAUGCAUAGCAGUACUGGUUAAGUGUAAGUGACAAAUUCUGACAUUCCACUAAAGUUCCAUCCAGAAAAAAGAUAACAUCGUCGGCAAAAAGAUUUUUUACUUUGGGAAUCAAGGAAAUAUGCGUUUGAUUAAUGAGAGGAUCCAGAGUACCUGUGUUGAAAAAGUUUUGCACUAACUGGAACAGGUCAGGCUUUAGCAUUUCCCAUGAUUUUUGAUAGAAAAGCCCGUUGAAACCGUCAGGGCCAGGAGCUUUUAAAGCUCCUAAUUGAAAGACUGCUGCAUGUACUUCCUCCAACGUGGGAUUAGCCACCAGAUCUGCAUUGAUGUUCUCAUCGACAGGGGAUAGGCAUUGGUUAAGGACAGGCUGGUAGUUUCUCGGCUCUUCUGUUUUAUAUAAAUUUUUGUAAAAUGAUUGAAUAUGAUUUUUGAGUGCGACAGAAUCCCGACACCAACUGUUGUCUUCCAUUUGCAGCAUUGUUAUGUUGUUUCUCUGCCUCCUCUGUAUAGUUGUUGCAUGAAAGAAGCGGGUAUUUUUAUCACCCCAUUGCAGCCAAUUUAUACGUGACCUCAUACCCCAAAAUUGCUCUUCCUGUUUCCUCAGUGUGUCUAUCUGGUGUAUAAUGCUUUGAAUCUCCUUCCUGCUUGUAGACUGAUCUGGUUGAUUGGUUAGCUCUGUUAAAGUCUGAGUGAGCUUUUUUAUCCUCCCAUAUGCAUUGGCAAACUUCUCUUUGCUCCACUUUAUCAAUCCUGUUGAAGUCGCCUUUAGUUUCUCUGAGAAAUUGGCUUGUUGAGAAGCUGUUUGGCUCCAGGUUUGAUGAAUAAAUUCAUGAUACUCUACGUGUUCUGUCCAGAAAGCCUCCAUCCUGAAAUCUCUUUUCCUUUUCUUUUUUCCAGGGUAUAGCCGAAGGACAAGGGGGCUGUGAUUCGAGCCGAUGGCUGGAAGAGCUUGGAUUUCUGCUUCAUGAAAGUCUGCAGUUCGCAUAUCGGGGCUUGCUCUCCAACUAUGAUUUCCUUUCCACUAGCUGUGGAAGAUGAGAUAGGGUCCAUAUGCGCCUAUUUUGUUGACUGCCCAUGGUGAUUGCUCAUAAGGAAUUUCUGCACAGUCUGAGGCAUAGUGACCAAUUCUUCCACAGGAGUAGCAAUAAUGAGAUCUUGGAACACUGUAUCUACCCUCCAACCAGGGGGAAUACCUCCUAUUCGCACCCAAAAUGCUGAUCUGGAAAAAUCAUAACAAUGUUCUGGAAUUUCAGGCUCGCACUGUUUUAGGACCAGCAAAUUGCUGGCAUAAGACCAAGAGAUAAAUGCUGGAUAAUUCACAUUGGGCUUAGAGUAUAAUUUACCCAAAAGAGUAUGGAGGUUUUCAAAAAGAACUUCAGAGAUGCAUGCCUAAGAUGAGGGAGGGCUUGAAGGGAGCUCGAUAUAAGACAACUCAGUGAACAUAUUCAGAGAGAUAGAGAUUUCCACUACAAAAUGAGACGCCCAUGGAACCUUUUGGAGGAUCGGGUAGGCGCAACUAAAAGUUCUCCCAUACCCAUAAAGCCAAAGUCACAAUCCACAGCGACAUCAAGUCGAUACCCGAAGCGG
Long non-coding RNA from Eucalyptus grandis, 2274 nucleotides. RefSeq lists it as uncharacterized. The record is from RefSeq and is a predicted model, not a curated record. NCBI's taxonomy places the organism in Eukaryota, Viridiplantae, Streptophyta, Magnoliopsida, Myrtales, Myrtaceae. The transcript has 11 exons.